AACGAACGCUGGCGGCAUGCCUAACACAUGCAAGUCGAACGAGACCUUCGGGUCUAGUGGCGCACGGGUGCGUAACGCGUGGGAACCUGCCCUUAGGUUCGGAAUAACUCCCCGAAAGGGGUGCUAAUACCGGAUAAUGUCUUCGGACCAAAGAUUUAUCGCCUUUGGAUGGGCCCGCGUUGGAUUAGCUAGUUGGUAGGGUAAAAGCCUACCAAGGCGACGAUCCAUAGCUGGUCUGAGAGGAUGAUCAGCCACACUGGGACUGAGACACGGCCCAGACUCCUACGGGAGGCAGCAGUGGGGAAUAUUGGACAAUGGGCGAAAGCCUGACCCAGCAAUGCCGCGUGAGUGAUGAAGGCCUUAGGGUUGUAAAGCUCUUUUACCCGGGAUGAUAAUGACAGCACCGGGAGAAUAAGCUCCGGCUAACUCCGUG
Molecule: ribosomal RNA, 433 nt
Filed under: uncultured bacterium
Lineage: Bacteria
Description: partial 16S ribosomal RNA
Rfam family: Bacterial small subunit ribosomal RNA
Source: RNAcentral